RNAcentral lists this ribosomal RNA (255 nucleotides) under uncultured Pseudomonas sp. RNAcentral describes it as "partial 16S ribosomal RNA". It matches the Rfam family "Bacterial small subunit ribosomal RNA", at positions 96 to 356 of the family's 1533-position model. The record is from RNAcentral. Lineage: Bacteria; Pseudomonadati; Pseudomonadota; Gammaproteobacteria; Pseudomonadales; Pseudomonadaceae.
CGGCGGACGGGUGAGUAAUGCCUAGGAAUCUGCCUGGUAGUGGGGGACAAGUUUCGAAGGAACGCUAAUACCGCAUACGUCCUACGGGNGAAAGCAGGGGACCUUCGGGCCUUGCGCUAUCAGAUGAGCCUAGGUCGGAUUAGCUAGUUGGUGAGGUAAUGGCUCACCAAGGCGACGAUCCGUAACUGGUCUGAGAGGAUGAUCAGUCACACUGGAACUGAGACACGGUCCAGACUCCUACGGGAGGCAGCAGUG